GGAGGGGUAGCUCAGUGGUAGAACGUGUGCUUAGCGUGCCCAAAGUCCUGGGUUCAAUCCCUAGUACCUCCA
This 72-nucleotide transfer RNA is filed under the name Camelus bactrianus (Bactrian camel). It matches the Rfam family "tRNA". From Rfam's summary of the family: Transfer RNA (tRNA) molecules are approximately 80 nucleotides in length. Their secondary structure includes four short double-helical elements and three loops (D, anti-codon, and T loops). Lineage: Eukaryota; Metazoa; Chordata; Mammalia; Artiodactyla; Camelidae. The record is from Rfam by way of RNAcentral. RNAcentral also lists the same sequence under 2 other names.